UGGCCCCACUGUGCACCACACACUCCUUUCCCAGCCCAGGGGCACGCGAACAAAAUGAGGCUCAAGCUGACCAGGCCGAGCCGGAGGAACGCUGGGGCUUGGCAGCAGAAGGGAUGGGACCAGAGAGAAGGGUGUGGAGGAGACCCCAGUGAGGGCCAGGACAUUUCAGGUAAAGAGAGGUCAUAUCUCCGUACCUCACUUCCUGACACAAACAAGUUUUCACUGUUGUCAGCAACAAAGCCCUAAUAUAGCUGCGGAAGAGAAAAACUGCAUUGCAUUUUGCCUCCUGCAAGCAUCAUCAACAGUUACUGGAGGAACGUAAUUCCAGAAAGCUUGAAAGCCGUGGUGAUGGUAAUUAUGUAUCAAAUGCCUGGUUCUAUUUCUGUUAUUAUUGUUUUGUCAUUUCUGUUUUCCCAGCGAUCUGACUGAACUCGCAGAGGGACAAAUCCAGUUUUUCUUUUUGACUUUUGUCAAACUAAAUCAGGCCUGAUAGAAAACUCAUUGCUCUCCGGGGAAACAAAGUAGGAGCCACGAAAUGUCAUUUUAACAGAGCGUGGGUUUGGUGACUGUAGGAAAGGAUUUGAGGACGCUCCUUCUGUUCGGCUUCCUAUGUCAUGAGCACAGGCUCCACGCACGCACAGACACCACGGCUCCCGGAUGCUGUGGCUCCCCGAUCGGGGCUCCUGCAGCGCCAGAAGCCCCUCCGGGAUGCUUCGAGGGGCUCCCGGUGGGUGGAGGUACGGACGCCGCUGCGGCCGCCGCCGCCAGUCCUGCUGCUGUUGUUGCUGCUGCAGUCACGUGGGAGCCCCUUUAAGUUUCCAUAGAGAGGCCUCUCUGGUGUCACAUGAUGGACAUGAUAUAAUGAAACAACAUUGUGGAGAGGAAAGCAUUAGGGGAGCCCACGGCUACAAAAACAAGUGAGUGAGAAGAGGUGGGAGGAAGAGAAACUACGCCACCUCCCCUGCAGCCGAGUGCACGCAGCAGCCUGGCGUGACAAGUGGGCGACGCCGGGGGGCAGGGAGCCGGGGUCCUUGGCCCUGGCCGGGGACCCCACCGCCCACCGCGCGGAGGACAACUUUUAGCCGGCAGCCCAGACCAGCGCGGCACCUGUCUCCGGAGUCUCCACCGCUCCUCCCGAUUCAUCCCAGGGAAAUUCUCAAGAAUACGCUCUACAAAUCUACGUGCGCAUCAUUUUCACCUCGCGUCGCGCCCGGGAGGAAGGAACGAGGCAAGGAGCUAAAGCAGCGUGCGUUCAGCCCUGGGGCAUUUUAUUAAUGCUUUUACGAGUUAGAAGAGUUGGGAUAAUUUGCCAUCUGGAGUUUCUCUGCCUUGCUGAUCUGAGCUCAGACCUGCCAAUUUACCAGAGAUAAUUGAUAACACCCUGUAACAGCUGAGAGGAAAAUGGAAGAAACGGAGAUACUUUUAGUGAAGCAGAAUAAACCACUGAACAGUCUGUUUCAUCUUCAUAAAAACGCUGCUUUCAGUGCACUGGAUUUAUUUUACAACCCACUAAUGGAUUACCCUACAGUUUGAAAAACAUUGCGUUAGACCAGUUUGACUGUUGUCAAGAACCAAAAAAGGAAAAAUGAGGAAGCUGUGAGUACCAGUGGAAGGAACGAGCCAGGAAGAGGGACUGGAACCAUCUCAGAAGCCAUGCCCCUCAGGCUGGAACUUGCCCUGUCUCCUCGCAGAUGAGCUACCUCUUGUGUUUAAGAAUUAAAGGAAGAUGAGCUAGGAAUCAAGAAAUACGCAGAACUGAUUCCUGUCACUGGCGCCACCCUGCCACUUGCCCAGAGCUGUGGUAUAAAUUUUUUUAAUAGGCUGAAAUAAAAAUAUGAAUAGCAUUUUGGUAUUAAGCAUUAAAUUGAUAAAGGCUAUGAGAUACACCUGCUCUCAACCAUGUUAAUUUUUUAUUAUUGGUAUUAAUAAAUUAUUACUUACUAACAUAUUAACAAGAAUUGCAUUGAGAAACAAAGCAUCCACAGGCCAAAUCUUCUGAAUUUCAAAUGUUUAUAUUAAUGCGUUGUAUUCUAGAAAAGUAGAAUUGUCUUAAGUAGCUUUGUAAUAUAAAGUCAUCUAUCAGCCCAUUACACCUAUUAGAAUGUUUUAACCUUUAUUUCCCACUUUUUUGUUUCUAGACUGAGUGUACUUGGUCUGGUAUUUGUGGCAUAACUUACGGAACACAUAAGAAUGAUACAGAUACUAUUUAAUGAUGACCUAAUACAAGCUUAGAUAGCUAAGGUGAAAGCUUCUAUGGCCUUAACAUUUUCCUCUUGAAGAAUGUAUUUUCUGUAAUAAAAUACAGUGGCUACUUGAAAUCUAUAAACUUAUGUGAGGUCUGGAUAAAUCUGAGCAACUUUCUUCUUUGUGCUCCAGGAACCUACGCACUAUAUAUAUAAAUAAAGCUUAAGUAAA
This 2415-nucleotide long non-coding RNA is filed under the name Homo sapiens (human). RNAcentral describes it as "HSALNT0343420". The record is from RNAcentral. Lineage: Eukaryota; Metazoa; Chordata; Mammalia; Primates; Hominidae.